This 498-nucleotide ribosomal RNA is filed under the name uncultured bacterium. RNAcentral describes it as "partial 16S ribosomal RNA". It matches the Rfam family "Bacterial small subunit ribosomal RNA", at positions 28 to 507 of the family's 1533-position model. The record is from RNAcentral.
GACGAACGCUGGCGGCGUGCCUAAUACAUGCCAGUCGAACGAGAGCGACCGGUGCUUGCACUGGUCAAUCUAGUGGCGAACGGGUGAGUAACACGUGGGUAACCUGCCCAUCAGAGGGGGAUAACAUCCGGAAACGGAUGCUAAAACCGCAUAGGUCUUCGAACCGCAUGGUUUGAAGAGGAAAAGAGGCGCAAGCUUCUGCUGAUGGAUGGACCCGCGGUGCAUUAGCUAGUUGGUGAGGUAACGGCUCACCAAGGCCGUGAUGCAUAGCCGACCUGAGAGGGUGAUCGGCCACAUUGGAACUGAGACACGGCCCAAACUCCUACGGGAGGCAGCAGUAGGGAAUCUUCCGCAAUGGACGCAAGUCUGACGGAGCAACGCCGCGUGAGUGAAGAAGGUUUUCGGAUCGUAAAACUCUGUUGUUAGAGAAGAACAAGUGCUAGAGUAACUGUUAGCGCCUUGACGGUAUCUAACCAGAAAGCCACGGCUAACUACGUG